GGAUAACAUACCGAAAGGUAUGCUAAUACGAGAUAAUAUACUUUUAUCGCAUGGUAGAAGUAUCAAAGCUCCGGCGGUACAGGAUGGACCCGCGUCUGAUUAGCUAGUUGGUAAGGUAACGGCUUACCAAGGCGACGAUCAGUAGCCGACCUGAGAGGGUGAUCGGCCACAUUGGAACUGAGACACGGUCCAAACUCCUACGGGAGGCAGCAGUGGGGAAUAUUGCACAAUGGGCGAAAGCCUGAUGCAGCAACGCCGCGUGAGCGAUGAAGGCCUUCGGGUCGUAAAGCUCUGUCCUCAAGGAAGAUAAUGACGGUACUUGAGGAGGAAGCCCCGGCUAACUACGUGCCAGCAGCCGCGGUAAUACGUAGGGGGCUAGCGUUAUCCGGAAUUACUGGGCGUAAAGGGUGCGUAGGUGGUUUCUUAAGUCAGAGGUGAAAGGCUACGGCUCAACCGUAGUAAGCCUUUGAAACUGGGAAACUUGAGUGCAGGAGAGGAGAGUGGAAU
RNAcentral lists this ribosomal RNA (507 nucleotides) under uncultured Clostridium sp. Its description in RNAcentral is "bacterial SSU rRNA". It matches the Rfam family "Bacterial small subunit ribosomal RNA", at positions 141 to 667 of the family's 1533-position model. Lineage: Bacteria; Bacillati; Bacillota; Clostridia; Eubacteriales; Clostridiaceae. The record is from RNAcentral.